Molecule: ribosomal RNA, 450 nt
Filed under: uncultured bacterium
Lineage: Bacteria
Description: partial 16S ribosomal RNA
Rfam family: Bacterial small subunit ribosomal RNA
Source: RNAcentral
GUGGGGAAUCUUCCACAAUGGACGAAAGUCUGAUGGAGCAACGCCGCGUGAGUGAAGAAGGGUUUCGGCUCGUAAAGCUCUGUUGUCGGGGACGAAUGUGCAGUAUUUGAAUAAAGUGCUGCAAUGACGGUACCUGACGAGGAAGCCACGGCUAACUACGUGCCAGCAGCCGCGGUAAUACGUAGGUGGCAAGCGUUGUCCGGAAUUAUUGGGCGUAAAGGGAGCGCAGGCGGGAAGGUAAGUCGGUCUUAAAAGUGCGGGGCUCAACCCCGUGAUGGGAUCGAAACUAUCUUUCUUGAGUGCAGGAGAGGAAAGUGGAAUUCCUAGUGUAGCGGUGAAAUGCGUAGAUAUUAGGAGGAACACCAGUGGCGAAGGCGACUUUCUGGACUGUAACUGACGCUGAGGCUCGAAAGCCAGGGGAGCGAACGGGAUUAGAAACCCCGGUAGUCC